GAUGAACGCUGGCGGCGUGCCUAAUACAUGCAAGUCGAGCGAACAGACGAGGAGCUUGCUCCUCUGAUGUUAGCGUCGGACGGGUGAGUAACACGUGGAUAACCUACCUAUAAGACUGGGAUAACUUCGUGAAACCGGAGCUAAUUCCGGCUAACAUUUUGAACCGCAUGGUUCAACAGUUUAAGACGGUCUUGCUUUCACUUAUCGAUGGUUCCGCGCCGCAUUAGCUAGUUGGUAAGGUAACGGCUUACCAAGGCAACGAUGCGUAGCCGACCUGAGAGGAUGAUCGGCCACACUGGAACUGAGACACGGUCCAGACUCCUACGGGAGGCAGCAGUAGGGAAUAUUGCGCAAUGGGCGAAAGCCUGACGGAGCAACGCCGCGUGAGUGAAGAAGGUCUUCGGAUCGUAAAACACUGUUAUUAGGGAAGAACAAAGGUGAAAGUAAAUAUGCACGUAUUGACGGUACCUAAUCAGAAAGCAACGGCUAACUACGUG
This 497-nucleotide ribosomal RNA is filed under the name uncultured bacterium. RNAcentral describes it as "partial 16S ribosomal RNA". It matches the Rfam family "Bacterial small subunit ribosomal RNA", at positions 28 to 507 of the family's 1533-position model. The record is from RNAcentral.